AUACGGAGGGUGCAAGCGUUAAUCGGAAUUACUGGGCGUAAAGCGCUCGUAGGCGGCUUGUAAAGUCGGAUGUGAAAGCCCCGGGCUCAACCUGGGAACUGCAUUCGAUACUGGCAGGCUAGAGUAUAGUAGAGGCAAGUGGAAUUCCGGGUGUAGCGGUGAAAUGCGUAGAUAUCCGGAGGAACAUCAGUGGCGAAGGCGACUUGCUGGACUAAUUCUGACGCUAAGGAGCGAAAGCGUGGGGAGCAAACGGGAUUAGAUACCCCAGUAGUCC
This 274-nucleotide ribosomal RNA is filed under the name uncultured bacterium. Its description in RNAcentral is "partial 16S ribosomal RNA". It matches the Rfam family "Bacterial small subunit ribosomal RNA", at positions 523 to 796 of the family's 1533-position model. The record is from RNAcentral.